UAGAAUCAAGAGCUCAAGACAAUCCGGA
This 28-nucleotide non-coding RNA is filed under the name Bombyx mori (domestic silkworm). The record is from RNAcentral. Lineage: Eukaryota; Metazoa; Arthropoda; Insecta; Lepidoptera; Bombycidae.